UACGGAGGGUGCAAGCGUUGUUCGGAUUUAUUGGGCGUAAAGCGCGUGUAGGCGGUUUCUUAAGUCUGAUGUGAAAGCCCCGGGCUCAACCCGGGAAGUGCAUUGGAUACUGGGAGACUUGAAUACGGGAGAGGGUAGUGGAAUUCCUAGUGUAGGAGUGAAAUCCGUAGAUAUUAGGAGGAACACCGGCGGCGAAGGCGGCUACCUGGACCGAUAUUGACGCUGAGACGCGAAAGCGUGGGGAGCAAAC
Molecule: ribosomal RNA, 250 nt
Filed under: uncultured Geobacter sp.
Lineage: Bacteria; Pseudomonadati; Thermodesulfobacteriota; Desulfuromonadia; Geobacterales; Geobacteraceae
Description: partial 16S ribosomal RNA
Rfam family: Bacterial small subunit ribosomal RNA
Source: RNAcentral